CUCCGAUGUUCUUGUUGAAGAUCCACUUGCACUCUAUUGGGGUCACACCCUCAGGUGCUUCAACCAAGAUCCACACUUGGUUGGUAUACAUCGAGUCCAUCUCAAAUUAGAUGGCUUCCAGCCAUCUGUCUGAGUCUCUACUCAUGACAGCCUUCGAAUAAAUUAGUUGAUAUCAUCCUAAAUGAUGUUGAUCGUAUUAUCAUUCUCAAUGAUAAAACUAUAUCUCAGAGGUGCUUGACGUACUCUAUCUGACCUUCGAAGAGAAGGUGUGUAUUGUGGAUGUACCUCAUCCUUGGGUACUUCUGAUUGAGGAUCUUCUUGUAGUCCAACCACAGGUAUUUC
This 342-nucleotide long non-coding RNA is filed under the name Elaeis guineensis (African oil palm). RNAcentral's name for it is "long non-coding RNA (EGUI_LNC033419)". The record is from RNAcentral. Lineage: Eukaryota; Viridiplantae; Streptophyta; Magnoliopsida; Arecales; Arecaceae.